Molecule: ribosomal RNA, 253 nt
Filed under: uncultured bacterium
Lineage: Bacteria
Description: partial 16S ribosomal RNA
Rfam family: Bacterial small subunit ribosomal RNA
Source: RNAcentral
UACGGGGGGGGCAAGCGUUGUUCGGAAUUACUGGGCGUAAAGGGCUCGUAGGCGGCCAACUAAGUCGGAUGUGAAAUCCCCAGGCUUAACCUGGGAACUGCAUCCGAUACUGGAUGGCUUGAAUCCGGGAGAGGGAUGCAGAAUUCCAGGUGUAGCGGUGAAAUGCGUAGAUAUGCGGAGGAACACCGAUGGCGAAGGCAGUCCCCUGGGCCUGUACUGACGCUCAUGCACGAAAGCGUGGGGAGCAAACAGG